RNAcentral lists this ribosomal RNA (429 nucleotides) under Actinomycetes bacterium. RNAcentral's name for it is "Actinobacteria bacterium partial 16S ribosomal RNA". It matches the Rfam family "Bacterial small subunit ribosomal RNA", at positions 355 to 776 of the family's 1533-position model. The record is from RNAcentral. Lineage: Bacteria; Bacillati; Actinomycetota; Actinomycetes.
UAGGGAAUCUUCCGCAAUGGGCGAAAGCUUGACGGAGCAACGCCGCGUGAGUGAUGAAGGUCUUCGGAUCGUAAAACUCUGUUAUUAGGGAAGAACAAAUGUGUAAGUAACUAUGCACGUCUUGACGGUACCUAAUCAGAAAGCCACGGCUAACUACGUGCCAGCAGCCGCGGUAAUACGUAGGUGGCAAGCGUUAUCCGGAAUUAUUGGGCGUAAAGCGCGCGUAGGCGGUUUUUUAAGUCUGAUGUGAAAGCCCACGGCUCAACCGUGGAGGGUCAUUGGAAACUGGAAAACUUGGGUGCAGAAGGGGAAAGUGGAAUUCCAUGUGUAGCGGUGAAAUGCGCAGGGAUAUGGGGGAACCCCAGUGGCGAAGGCGACUUUCUGGUCUGUAACUGACGCUGAUGUGCGAAAGCGUGGGGAUCAAACAGG